This 800-nucleotide ribosomal RNA is filed under the name Escherichia coli. RNAcentral's name for it is "partial 23S ribosomal RNA". It matches the Rfam family "Bacterial large subunit ribosomal RNA", at positions 113 to 955 of the family's 2925-position model. Lineage: Bacteria; Pseudomonadati; Pseudomonadota; Gammaproteobacteria; Enterobacterales; Enterobacteriaceae. The record is from RNAcentral.
UCCGAAUGGGGAAACCCAGUGUGAUUCGUCACACUAUCAUUAACUGAAUCCAUAGGUUAAUGAGGCGAACCGGGGGAACUGAAACAUCUAAGUACCCCGAGGAAAAGAAAUCAACCGAGAUUCCCCCAGUAGCGGCGAGCGAACGGGGAGGAGCCCAGAGCCUGAAUCAGUGUGUGUGUUAGUGGAAGCGUCUGGAAAGGCGCGCGAUACAGGGUGACAGCCCCGUACACAAAAAUGCACAUACUGUGAGCUCGAUGAGUAGGGCGGGACACGUGGUAUCCUGUCUGAAUAUGGGGGGACCAUCCUCCAAGGCUAAAUACUCCUGACUGACCGAUAGUGAACCAGUACCGUGAGGGAAAGGCGAAAAGAACCCCGGCGAGGGGAGUGAAAAAGAACCUGAAACCGUGUACGUACAAGCAGUGGGAGCACGCUUCGGCGUGUGACUGCGUACCUUUUGUAUAAUGGGUCAGCGACUUAUAUUCUGUAGCAAGGUUAACCGAAUAGGGGAGCCGAAGGGAAACCGAGUCUUAACUGGGCGUUAAGUUGCAGGGUAUAGACCCGAAACCCGGUGAUCUAGCCAUGGGCAGGUUGAAGGUUGGGUAACACUAACUGGAGGACCGAACCGACUAAUGUUGAAAAAUUAGCGGAUGACUUGUGGCUGGGGGUGAAAGGCCAAUCAAACCGGGAGAUAGCUGGUUCUCCCCGAAAGCUAUUUAGGUAGCGCCUCGUGAAUUCAUCUCCGGGGGUAGAGCACUGUUUCGGCAAGGGGGUCAUCCCGACUUACCAACCCGAUGCAAACU